AGGGUUGUAGUUAAAAAUAACAGUUAAUUUGCAAUUAAAAAGUGCUUAAAUAUAAGCCUAUCUUU
Molecule: transfer RNA, 65 nt
Filed under: Japanagallia multispina
Lineage: Eukaryota; Metazoa; Arthropoda; Insecta; Hemiptera; Cicadellidae
Description: tRNA-Ala
Source: RNAcentral